This 670-nucleotide unclassified non-coding RNA is filed under the name Hevea brasiliensis (rubber tree). Lineage: Eukaryota; Viridiplantae; Streptophyta; Magnoliopsida; Malpighiales; Euphorbiaceae. The record is from RNAcentral.
AAAAAAAAGAUGGGAAUCAGAAGGAAUGACAUUUUAACAUACAUUUCACGUAAAAUUUAUAAAUACAAAAUGACUGCAACUGUAAUUAAUUUGCCCCAGGAAAACUUAUUUGAAAGAAGCAUUUUGUUUUCGCCUUCUACAUGCAGGGGCUAUAAUUAUUAUGCCACAACAGCAAAAACAGAAGGCAUGGCAAAUCCACCAAUUUGACGUGCCAGACAGUGGUCUACUAAAUAUGCAGUACCAGAUUUUUGGUUCUAUGCAGCACGAGUAACAGCUGCAUGUAUUGCAUCUGCUAAAUGAGGGACGGUCUUCGAGCUCAAACCUGCCAUGCUAAUCCUCCCAUCAGAUGUCAUGUAGAUGUGAUACUCUUUAGUCAUAAAGGCAACUUGCUCAGAGUUCAGUCCAGUGAAAGUGAACAUUCCAAUUUGCUUAAUAAUGUGACUCCAGUCACCAGGUGUUCCUCUAGCACGUAACGCAUCAAAGAGUUGCCGGCGCAUGCUGAUAAUACGAUCAGCCAUUGCCUUCAGCUCAAUGGUCCACUCAUUGUACAAAUUCCUAUCUUUUAGGAUAACAGCUACUAUAGAUGCACCAUGAAUGGGUGGGUUUGAAUACAUGGGUCUGAUCACAAGUUUCAGCUGGCUCUCAACCCUGCCUGCAACAUCAGCAUUCC